Molecule: transfer RNA, 68 nt
Filed under: Phyllomys blainvillii (golden Atlantic tree rat)
Lineage: Eukaryota; Metazoa; Chordata; Mammalia; Rodentia; Echimyidae
Description: tRNA-Pro
Source: RNAcentral
CAAGAAAUAGUUUAAUUAGAAUGUUAGUUUUGGGUACUGAUGGUGGAGUUGUUAUGCUUCUUUCUUGA